GUGAAACAUUUGUUAUUAAUAAAAGUAAUUCUCACACCCAUUUAAUAUCCCUUUUUAGUGGGGUACACUUGUCAUGCCUUCCACUUUUCCCUUGUAAAGUGGGAGACAAAUCCUGUCAGCAUUUAAUUUCCUUUUUUCCGUGAUCCAUGUGGCAACAGAGAAAGGGUGAACUUCUAAAAAGUGGAAGCCAAGUGGCGAGCAGAGAGUGACCGAUCGUUGGUGGUGGAGGCGGUAUUUAAGAUAAGUUUUUGAAAUUUGACGCCAUUUUUCCUCAUGCAACCUUUCUCCUUCCUCAAACUCCAACUUUCAAAAAGCUCAAUUCUCCUCCUUCUCUCUAAACUUUCCAAACCUUCUCUCUGGAUUUCUAACCACCAUUUCUUCUCCGAUCACUUAUUUCCUUUCAGACUUAUUACUCCCGGCGUCAAGACCUUUACUUUGCACCGAUCAGAUUUCCGUUCUGAAUCGGUAAGUGUUCUGACCUUCGAAACCUCUUUGUCCUCUUGCAUGCACCUUUAAAAGCUUGCAUGUGACUGUUAAAUCAUCUUCUGAACCAUUGUCUUUGGUAUUUAAACUAUAGAACUUGGAAGCCUUUGAAGGAAUAGUUGUCGUCCACCUACCUUAGGAGUUUA
RNAcentral lists this long non-coding RNA (629 nucleotides) under Vigna radiata. RNAcentral's name for it is "long non-coding RNA (VRAD_LNC013539)". Lineage: Eukaryota; Viridiplantae; Streptophyta; Magnoliopsida; Fabales; Fabaceae. The record is from RNAcentral.